RNAcentral lists this long non-coding RNA (9399 nucleotides) under Triticum aestivum (bread wheat). Its description in RNAcentral is "long non-coding RNA (TAES_LNC019065)". Lineage: Eukaryota; Viridiplantae; Streptophyta; Magnoliopsida; Poales; Poaceae. The record is from RNAcentral.
AUUGACAAGGUACCUCGAACUAUUUCAAAGGUGUCAUGUAGGUCUUCAAACUUAGGAAAGUGUCAUCUAGAUCCUCAAAGUCCUUGAAGUGUAAUAAGUGUGUAUAUAUGUGACACCUCUGAAAUAGUUCAAGGACCUACAUGAUACCUUUGAAAUACUUUGAGGACCAGGAUGACACACAUAUUACACUUUGAGGAUCUGGAUGACGAUUUUCAUAGUUCGAAGACCUACAUGACACCUUUGAAAUAGUUUGAGGACCUAUGAUGCACUUCACUCGAAUUGAAUAAUCCUUCCUUUCCUUGUUUGGUUUUGGCACAGUAGUUUCUCUUGCCGGUGUUUUUAACCCAAUUACACAUCCACCAGUACACAUAUGAUUUGACAAGCAAACGUAGCUAGGUUGACAAUGAUCGUUGAUCUAUGUAUGACUACAUUGAAGCACAGGUACAAACGCCAUGUCCUUUUGUCAUGAGAUGUGAUUGUGAUUUGGUUUGCUCCAAUCUCCUAUGCUCAACAUAAUAUGAGCACCUGUUAUCCAUGGGCAUACCACACGAGCUUGUUCCUGACAGUUUCGUCUUCAAGCUGGGAUGGCUAACUAGACAGUUUCGUGUUCAAGGGAUGGUGAGUUAAUAGAACAGCCAACUAUAUACUCCCUCGACAAGAAUUUUGGGACGAAGGGAGUACUUAUAUACGAGGGGAAUGGCUAGUCAGCUGGCUAGGUCAUGCAUGUCUCUUGCUUUUUUGCCUGUCAUGCAUGUCAUUGGUCUAUCAUUUUUUUUCCUUAGUGCACUUUUGAAUUAGUCUCUAGUAAAUGAAAUGAGCACGUGGCUGGCCCGCACGUACAACAUACAUACAACACACACGAAUGCGUAUACACCAUCAAAGGAAACAGUCCAAUGGUUUGAUGGUUAGGUCGGCUGCUGCUCCCACCGGACCGGCAUCGCUGCAACACUGGUGACCUCCUACAGCAUCGGCUGCAACACUGGCCACAACAACCCAAUUGGAAACCACCGGCACCCCUCGUAGCAUGGCGGACGCCGAUCGGGGUCGUCGCGACAUCACCGGUUCCCAUGUUUGCGGGGUGUAGCACCUCAGGUGGCAAGCUUGCAGCCGCAAUCCGUGGCAGCACCCUCGCACGCUACAUGCUGUAGCUACACCAUUCUCACAGAAGUGCACGCGGAUGUCCCUGCAUCACUGUUGAAUGCCCUUUAAGCACUCGUGCCUAGGCUGUAGCAGCGUUGUGAGAGAGUGACGACUGGGCUUGCAACAUCGGGGCAGACCUUCUAGCCGGUGGUUGUGCAUCAACAAUUUUGUGUCUCCCUGCUGGCCAUGGUCACAACAUCUUGUGGCGAGUGCAAGGAAGGCUUGUUGCAUCAGUGCCCGACCUUGCAAAAGAUGGUGUCUAUCGGUGCAUGUUCGACUACAGCAUCAACGUCUCGCUCGCCGUGGCGACGUCACCAUCUCCGUCCAAGCCUCGGGAGAAGCUUAUAGAAGCCUCAGGAGAAGCUUAUAGAAGCUAGGGCAAGAAACAAGUGCCUCUUGUUUCUCCAGUAACUGCCAUCUAUCACGCUCUGGUUGCUCCCUCUGGAUUUUUAUUUUAAUUUUUCUGCACGCGUUUUCGGCCUUUUAGAUGUCUUUUUUCUUUUUUUGUUUUGUUUUGAUUUUUCAUUGGUCUNNNNNNNNNNNNNNNNNNNNNNNNNNNNNNNNNNNNNNNNNNNNNNNNNNNNNNNNNNNNNNNNNNNNNNNNNNNNNNNNNNNNNNNNNNNNNNNNNNNNGAUUUUGGGAAAGUUUCCAAAAUGCUAUGGGAACUCGUCUCUCCUUUAGCACCGCUUUCCACCCUCAGUCGAGUGGUCAAGUGGAACGCGUCAACCAGAUUCUAGAAGACAUGCUUCGAGCCUCUGUUAUCUCUUUCGGAAUGGACUGGGAGAAGUGCCUUCCAUUUGCCGAAUUCGCUUACAACAACAGCUAUCAAUCUAGCUUGGGUAAAGCCCCUUUUGAAGUUCUCUAUGGACGACGGUGUCGAACACCCCUUAACUGGUCAGAGACCGGGGAAAGACAAUUCUUUGGCCCGGAUAUGAUUCAGGAAGCAGAAGAACAAGUUCGUAUCGUUCGUGAAAAGUUGAAAACAGCCCAAUCCCGUCAAAAGAGUCAAUAUGACCGAAAGCAUAAGGCUAUGACUUUCGAGGUUGACGAGAAGGCUUAUCUUCGGGUCACCCCUCUGGAGGGAACCCAUCGUUUCGGUAUCAAAGGCAAAUUGGCUCCUCGUUACAUUGGACCUUUUCGCAUUCUCGCCAAACGAGGAGAAGUUGCCUACCAGUUGGAACUACCUCCGCACCUCUCCAGAGUCCAUGAUGUCUUCCACGUUUCUCAACUCAGGCGUUGCUUCUCGGACCCUAUCCGUGAAGUGGACCACGAAACGCUUGAUCUUCAAGAUAAUCUUACAUAUCGAGAGUACCCCGUUCGUAUCCUCGAUCAGGCCGAACGUAUCACCCGACGUCAGAACAUCAAGUUCCUCAAAGUACAAUGGUUGCACCAUUCUGAGGAUGAAGCAACUUGGGAAAGGGAGGAUCGUCUUCGACUCGAGUAUCCCGCCUUCUUCCCGGAGGAACCCAAAUCUCGGGACGAGAUUCUUUUGAGUGGGGGUGAGUUGUCACACCCUAGCUAGUCAUGCAUCAGAGUGUGUGCAUCAUGUUUAAAAUUCCAUUUAAUUUGAAAUGGGGAAUUGUGAAACCCUCAGAAUCAUUUUGAAAAUGACCCAAAUAAAAAUUUCUCCAAAAGGGUCCAAGAAAAUGCUCAUGUUGCUCUCUGAAAAUAUUGGACAGAGAUAAUAAUCAAACCAAUAUUUUUGAGAGCUCAUAGGUAUUUAUUUUGGGCAUUUGGAAUUAAUGCAUAAAUAUUUGCUUUGGAAAUAUAUUAAUUAUAUAUAUUAAUAUAUGUCCAAAUAUUAUGCCAUUUAUAAAGGAGCUCUGAAAUAAUAUAUCUAGCCCCUGCAAAAAUUGGCAUAAGGAAAUAAAAUGAUUUAAUAUUUUAUUUAAAUCAAAACAAAUGUCAGAAAUUAGAAAACAGAAAUAAAUAACAGGAGGAGCUUACCUGGGCUCCUCCACUGUGCGGCCCAGCCAGCUGGCUGGUCCAGCCAGCAGCCGGCCCAGCCCACCUCCCUCCUCUGUCGUCUUCGUCCCGACAGAGGGAGGGGAGUGUGGCCGGCGCGCGCGCGCGCCACCGCGCCACGCCACCUCUCUCCCUGCUUGCCUGCCCUCCCCUCCUCGCUCGAUGCCCCGGACGACGCCACGCCUCCCCCCCUGCUCUCUCUCACUCUCCCUCAGUUCCUCCCUCCUCCCCUCGCUCUCUCUCUCACACGGCCGAACACCCCCGUCGCCGCCGUUCGCCAUAGCAGCCGUCUCCGGCCACCCCUCGCUUCCCCGACUAGCUCAGAAGCUCCGCCACGACCCCCUCUUCCUCCCCACCGCUCCACGGUCCUCCAGAAGCCCUGCAUCGCCGCCACGUCGCCGUUCCCCUCCUCGGGCUCCGACCACCGUCGCCGUCGAUUCGCCGUCUCCAGCGCGUCCCCGAGCCCGCUUCGACGCCCACUGCAACCGCGGUGAGCUACGCCACCGUUUNNNNNNNNNNNNNNNNNNNNNNNNNNNNNNNNNNNNNNNNNNNNNNNNNNNNNNNNNNNNNNNNNNNNNNNNNNNNNNNNNNNNNNNNNNNNNNNNNNNNGUUUAUCUCGUGUGCGAGGCCUUCCUCUGCAUCCAGCCCCACUUCGGCUUGUGGCUCAAGACCUUCAAUGUCAAGCCGAAGGUAGUGAAGGGCACUCAAGCGGAGUGCGGAGGCGCCAUGUUGGGCAAGAUGCCCAACGUCCUUUGGUUCAAAGGGGCCUUCGUGGAAUCCGUCAAGGGGUGGCAAUCGGGGUGGUUCUAUAUCACCGAGCCGCGCAACCCUACGUGGGCGGCGGCCCCCGAGUUCAGAUCUGGUAUCCCCACGCAGCUCACCUCCUGGAAAGAGAAGGGCUUGCUGUGGGGUAGUUCGGAGGAGCUGACGGGACUCCAAGCCUGUAUCCAGAAGCUGGUGAAGAAGCUCAGGCUGGUUAACAUGGUCCAAGUCAUGCUCGUCCGCCGGAUUCUCCUAUGCCAGGAGCGGGCAUUCAAUCUGUGGGACUUCAAUCCGGAACAGCACUAGGCGCUGAGCGGGCUCUUCAACACGACGUACGAAGGCGCCUGGAGGGUGCCGUUUAAGGGUGCCGAAGCCCCCGCAUCCGCGACUGAAGAUCGCGGAUUUCGCUCGCAUCGCCAAGCUGACGAGGUAAGUGAUUCUACCCCUUUACGGGACACUUGCUUUUCAUAGUUUGACUCUAUGCGGGUUUUAAUUUCCCCUUUUCCUUUGACAGGACUGGAUGAGGAAGGCGGAGCAGAUUAUCUGCCAGCUCCUAUGCCAGAAAACCCAGUAGACGCCCAUCUAGCGAGGCUGCUGGUUCCGGCACCGCACGUGGUGCCGGAGAAGAAGGCCAAGAAGGAGGCCACGAGUGCUCGAAAGAGUUCCCGUUUUCAGGUGUCCGACGACUCCGGGGCGGACUCCUCCCCCGAAAAUGAGGAGGAGAAAGAGGACUCUCUCCCAGAGGAGGGAGAGAGGAAGAGGAAGGCUUCCCCAAUAGGGGAGGCCGAAGGGUCCAAGAGGGGAAGGACUAUUCCCCCGGACAGCUCCGCCAACAUCAACGUUGGCGAGGAAGAAUGGCCUUCAAGGGCCAGGCCUCCGGCGAGAUCGUAAGUAUCCGGAUUCCUGAAUGAUUUAUAAUUUCUUUUUCUGCGUCACAUAGUGUCAUUCUAAUGCCGCAUGCUGCCUGUAGUCCGGCCAAUGAUGAUCUCCCCGCUUCAUCGAGCGGGUCGUUGGCUCCGUCGGAUGUAGACUCCAUCCCGACCGCCUCCACCCCUCGCGACACCAAGGACGCCGAGGUGGGAUCCCAAGAAGGGACCCAUCAGGGGGAGGCUCCGAAGGCGCCACAAGGCGGCCUCCCGGACUUUGCGCCGGACUCCACAUCAGAACCCGCAGUGGUUCCGGAGUCCGGCCGGCGGCCCCUUCGCACGAAGGGCAAGACCGUGACACCGGCAGCUUCCGUCCAACCGGAGGCGCCGGACAAUUUGUUGGAGGCGCUGCAGAGCACUUCCAUCGAGGAAGAACACCACACUAUUAUGAGUGCGGUGAUUAAGAAGGUACAGCUUGCCAAGAGCGGGCUGACCGAAGCCUGCAGUAGCCUUCUAUCAGGCUUUGAGGUAAGAAGUUAAAAAUAUGCAAUGUAAUACCGCAUAGACAGUAGCCCCUGAUGCUCGGUUCGGUGUUCGGAAAGAAAAGCCGGACUGAGGAUCUGAAAAAAAAAGAUAUAUGCAGGGUUGCUAAGAAAUUAUGUCAAUAUGGGUUGCAGGCUGCACUGCUGACCUCUGCCGCACUGACUGCGGAGGUCGGUGCUUUGAAGCAGGAGCUCGAGCGGUCCGAGCAAGAGCUCGGCCGCGCCAAGAAGCAGCUCCAGGACAAAGAAGGUGAGUAACACCACUUUGAACUUGUACCUUANNNNNNNNNNNNNNNNNNNNNNNNNNNNNNNNNNNNNNNNNNNNNNNNNNNNNNNNNNNNNNNNNNNNNNNNNNNNNNNNNNNNNNNNNNNNNNNNNNNNAAAGAGGCAGGCAAGGAAUAUCCGGUUCAGCGACCGGUUUAUUAUAUCAGCGAGGUGCUUAUUGAAUCCAAGCAAAGGUAUCCGCAUUGGCAGAAGCUGGUCUAUGGAGUUUUUAUGGCCAGUCGGAAGUUGAAGCAGUAUUUUCAAGGGCACCCCAUCACAGUGGUCAGUUCAGCUCCCUUGGGUGAUAUUAUACAGGACCGGGAGGCGACUGGCCGGAUUGCCAAGUGGGCUAUAGAGCUUGGGCCACAUGGACUGAAGUACGUGCCUUGGACGGUCGUGAAGUCUCAAGCGCUUGUUGAUUUCAUCAAUGACUGGACGGAGUUACAAGCACCAGAGGAGAAGCCGAAUCACACAUAUUGGACUAUUCAUUUUGAUGGAUCCAGGCAAUUGGAAGGCUCGGGGGCUGGAGUCGUAUUAACUUCCCCACGAGGUGAUAAGUUUUGUUAUGUUCUCCGCUUAAUGUUCCCUUGUACUAAUAAUGUAGCUGAGUACGAAGCUUUGCUCCAUGGUCUCUGGAUGGCUAAAGAGAUGAAUUUAAGCCAGGUUAAGUGCUUUGGUGACUCGGACCUAGUGGCUCAACAGGUGUCUGGCACUUGGGAUUCUAAGGACCCGCUCAUGGCUGCAUAUCGUCGGGAAGUGGAUAAUAUUGCAGGUUGUUUCAAGGGUUAUCAAGUGGAUCAUGUGGACCGUCGGAAGAAUGAAGCGGCGGAUGCUUUAAGCCGGUUGGGCUCUCAGUGUAAACCGGUUCCGCCUAACGUCUUUUUGGACGUGUUGCACAACCCGUCAGUCAAACUCCCAGGUGAGGUGGAUUUGGCUAUCCCUGAUCCGGAGGCUCAAUUGGUGGCAGCCCUGCAUGUUAUUCCGGAUUGGACAGUUCCUUAUCUUGCGUACAUGAACCGGGGAGAGUUACCAGAGGAUGAGAUUCUGGCCAGGCAGAUAGUUCGGCGAUCCAAGUCUAUGACGAUUGUCAAUGGUGAAUUACAUCAUUGCAGUGUAUCAGGGGCGUUUCAACGUUGUGUUUCUCCUGAGGAAGGCUGUGAAAUCUUAAGAGAAAUCCAUGAAGGGGAUUGUGGACACCACGCCGGUUCAAAGUCUCUGGUGGCAAAGGCGUUUCGUCACGGGUUCUACUGGUUGACAGCGCAUGCUGAUGCGGAGGAAUUGGUUAAACGGUGUGAUGGAUGUCAGAAAUUUUCAAGGAGUGCUCAUGUGCCGGCUCAAGAAUUGAGGAUGAUCCCAAUAACAUGGCCGUUUGCAACUUGGGGGCUGGAUAUGGUUGGGCCUUUUAAAAGAUCCAAGGAUAAGAAAACUCACCUUUUGGUGGCAGUUGACAAAUUUACCAAGUGGGUUGAAGCGGAGCCUGUCAGCAAGUGUGAUGCAGCAACAGCGGUGCAGUUCAUCAAGAAGGUGAUUUUCCGGUUUGGUUUUCCACACAGUAUCAUUACUGACAAUGGUACCAAUUUAUGCAAGGGCGCUAUGAAGGAGUUCUGUGAACGUGAGCACAUCCGACUUGACGUGUCGUCAGUGGCACACCCCCAGUCCAAUGGAUAGGCAGAACAAGCUAAUCAGGAAAUCUUGCGAGGCAUCAAACCCCAGCUUUUGGUCCCAUUGCAAAGAACACCAGGAUGUUGGGUUGAAGAGCUACCAUCUGUAUUAUGGAGUAUCAAUACUACGCCAAACCGGUCCACAGGAUACACGCCAUUUUUCAUGGUCUAUGGAGCAGAGGCAGUUCUCCCUAGUGACAUCCGGCACGAUUCGCCUCGUGUGGCAGCUUAUGUUGAAGCAGACAAUGAGACAGCACGGCAAGACGCUUUGGACCUAUUGGACGAGGAGCGUGAUAUANNNNNNNNNNNNNNNNNNNNNNNNNNNNNNNNNNNNNNNNNNNNNNNNNNNNNNNNNNNNNNNNNNNNNNNNNNNNNNNNNNNNNNNNNNNNNNNNNNNNGUGGCAAAUUGUUUUUUCAGUACUCUGGCUUCUAUCGCGCUCAGGCGAGCCACUUUAAGCAGGAGAUCGAGAAACAUAUGGUUGCUGCUUUCUCUGUUUUAGAGCUUCAUCUCACAUCGACGGGGCAUGCUUUUGGAGCAUUAGUGUUUCAUCUUCUUGGAAUGAAUCGAAUCCGUACUGCUACGCGGAGGCUUAAGGUCGUCCUACAGAGAUCAGCGGUAAUUCUCAGCUCUGAUUAUAUAACCCAAUAAUACAUUGUGUAUUUGUGUGGUUAUUCAUAUAUGUUCAUUUUUUGUUUUAGUUGAAAGAAGUAUGCCUGCCAUACUGUCCUUGUGAGUCGAACUGGAGGUCCCAGACUAUAUCCUUGGAUGCUCUCAAAGAAGUGGAGUUCAAUGGAUUCGACGGAGCGGAUCAUGAGUUUGAUUUAUUGGAAUUGGUACUUGGAUGUGCACCAAUACUGAAAAGAAUGAUUGUCAAGCUAUCCGAGGAGACCUCGGCAAGUAAUGAUGGAUGCGCAAGGAUAGACAACAUCUUCAAGGCAUGGUCCUCUGUGGAAUGUGAUGUUUAUCACAGCUCUGGUGAGAUAUAUUUGGCAUGCAUUAUUAGUAUCUUGCUAAUGAAACACAGAUAUACUCCCCCGGUUUCCGAAAAGAAGGCUCAUAAAUUUUCUCCUAAGACAAACGGUGCAAAGUUUGACCAAGUUUGUAAAAAGGCCAUAGUGAUACUAAUUUUGUAUUGUAGUUGUUGAUAAGAAAAAUAACGUAUUUUUACUCAGGCUUCCUUACCUAAAUUGCUCUUUUGCAUUUCACAAUCUUCUUCACAACCAAACUGAAUUCAUCCGCCUUGGGGUUUGGUACAAAUUUUAGUUCGAUUUAAACUUUAUUCAGCAAUUAGUUUGUAUUCCUUUCUGCUGUCAGCGUGUAUUCCGUUUUAUUUCUGGUUUUGCAUCUGUAUUCAGUAGCAAAAAUACAGGUCCCAGUUCUCAAAAAUAAAAUAAAAUAAUAAUACAGUUUCCAGAUAACCUAAAGUUUGUUUUCCCAUCUAAGUUUUUCAUUGGCCUUCGGGUUUCUUUCUGCUCUCAUCAUAUUAUGUUUUAUUUGACAGCAUAUAAGAAUAAUACAGGGGGAGUCUCCCCUCUGUUCCCAUUCUUUUUGAUACUGACUUGAGCUUGUUUCUAUUUGUUUCCUCUUAAGGGUUAAUGCACAGCAGCCAAAAUUGCCCGUCAACAUGAUUCUCAUCCUUGGGUCUCUUGAUCCUGUGGUGCGCAUUGACAAGAUCAUCCUUAAGUCUUUGGAUUCAUGGUGCACAUUGACAAGGUCUCAGGACUUUGCUUGGUUGCUUCAACUGAUCAUCUGGCGUGUUCUUUUGCCGGUGUACUGUACUGGUUAUAUAUAAGGUGCUCAGUUGUAUCUAUUGUGGUUCCUAUGCUGUUUGACUAUUGAAUUAAUGCACUCUACCUAUGUUGUGAGUCAAUUACUCGAAGCCGACUAUCAUGUUAAGCCAAUGGUUUCAGUUCUCAUUUUGCGCUGUUUCAUUGUGACGAUGACAUUGCAUGUUUUCAGCGGUAGUAAAAUUAUCUGCAGUGAAUGCUCCCCUUACCGCUCUUAGUGCUUAUACAGCUGUGGUUGGAUGAACCAAACGGCUCUGUGAGAUAGCUCAGUAGCUUAAACUUGGAAUUAUCCUCUCUUUUCUAACUGCUGCACUACACCCUAUAUGAUGGAUUGAAGAUUCAUCUUUGUGUCACUUCUGUUUUAGCAGAAUCUGUGUCAUCUUGUGAACAUAUGCAAGGUGUAAGUUGAUU